Molecule: ribosomal RNA, 430 nt
Filed under: bacterium
Lineage: Bacteria
Description: partial 16S ribosomal RNA
Rfam family: Bacterial small subunit ribosomal RNA
Source: RNAcentral
UGGGGAAUAUUAGACAAUGGGCGCAAGCCUGAUCCAGCCAUGCCGCGUGUGUGAAGAAGGCCUUUUGGUUGUAAAGCACUUUAAGCGAGGAGGAGGCUACUUGGAUUAAUACUCUAAGAUAGUGGACGUUACUCGCAGAAUAAGCACCGGCUAACUCUGUGCCAGCAGCCGCGGUAAUACAGAGGGUGCGAGCGUUAAUCGGAUUUACUGGGCGUAAAGCGUGCGUAGGCGGCUUCUUAAGUCGGAUGUGAAAUCCCUGAGCUUAACUUAGGAAUUGCAUUCGAUACUGGGAAGCUAGAGUAUGGGAGAGGAUGGUAGAAUUCCAGGUGUAGCGGUGAAAUGCGUAGAGAUCUGGAGGAAUACCGAUGGCGAAGGCAGCCAUCUGGCCUAAUACUGACGCUGAGGUACGAAAGCAUGGGGAGCAAACAGG